Molecule: ribosomal RNA, 490 nt
Filed under: uncultured bacterium
Lineage: Bacteria
Description: partial 16S ribosomal RNA
Rfam family: Bacterial small subunit ribosomal RNA
Source: RNAcentral
AUUGAACGCUGGCGGCAGGCCUAACACAUGCAAGUCGAACGGUAACAGGAAGAAGCUUGCUUCUUUGCUGACGAGUGGCGGACGGGUGAGUAAUGUCUGGGAAACUGCCUGAUGGAGGGGGAUAACUACUGGAAACGGUAGCUAAUACCGCAUAACGUCGCAAGACCAAAGAGGGGGGCCUUCGGGCCUCUUGCCAUCGGAUGUGCCCAGAUGGGAUUAGCUAGUAGGUGGGGUAACGGCUCACCUAGGCGACGAUCCCUAGCUGGUCUGAGAGGAUGACCAGCCACACUGGAACUGAGACACGGUCCAGACUCCUACGGGAGGCAGCAGUGGGGAAUAUUGCACAAUGGGCGCAAGCCUGAUGCAGCCAUGCCGCGUGUAUGAAGAAGGCCUUCGGGUUGUAAAGUACUUUCAGCGGGGAGGAAGGGAGUAAAGUUAAUACCUUUACUCAUUGACGUUACCCGCAGAAGAAGCACCGGCUAACUCCGUG